RNAcentral lists this ribosomal RNA (463 nucleotides) under uncultured bacterium. Its description in RNAcentral is "bacterial SSU rRNA". It matches the Rfam family "Bacterial small subunit ribosomal RNA", at positions 32 to 524 of the family's 1533-position model. The record is from RNAcentral.
AAUCAACGCUGGCGGCGCGCUUAACACAUGCAAGUCGAACGAGAAAGGGGAGCAAUCCCUGAGUAAAGUGGCGUACGGGUGAGUAACACGUGGAUCAUCUACCUCUUAGUGGGGAAUAACUCUGGGGAACCGGAGCUAAUACCGCAUAAGCCUGGAAAGGGAAAGUCGUAAGACGCUGAGAGAGGAGUCCGCGGCCGAUUAGCUAGUUGGCAGGGUAAAAGCCUACCAAGGCAGNGAUCGGUAGCCGGCCUGAGAGGGCACACGGCCACACUGGCACUGAAACACGGGCCAGACUCCUACGGGAGGCAGCAGUGGGGAAUCUUGCACAAUGGGGGCAACCCUGAUGCAGCGACGCCGCGUGAGCGAUGAAGCCCUUCGGGUGUAAAGCUCUUUCGGCAGGAACGAUAAUGACGGUACCUGAAGAAGAACCUGCGGCUAACUACGUGCCAGCAGCCGCUGUAAC